AGAGUUUGAUCCUGGCUCAGGAUGAACGCUGGCGGCGCGCCUAACACAUGCAAGUCGAACGGCACCCCUCUCCGGAGGGAAGCGAGUGGCGAACGGCUGAGUAACACGUGGAGAACCUGCCCCCUCCCCCGGGAUAGCCGCCCGAAAGGACGGGUAAUACCGGAUACCCCGGGGUGCCGCAUGGCACCCCGGCUAAAGCCCCGACGGGAGGGGAUGGCUCCGCGGCCCAUCAGGUAGACGGCGGGGUGACGGCCCACCGUGCCGACAACGGGUAGCCGGGUUGAGAGACCGACCGGCCAGAUUGGGACUGAGACACGGCCCAGACUCCUACGGGAGGCAGCAGUGGGGAAUCUUGCGCAAUGGGGGGAACCCUGACGCAGCGACGCCGCGUGCGGGACGGAGGCCUUCGGGUCGUAAACCGCUUUCAGCAGGGAAGAGUCAAGACUGUACCUGCAGAAGAAGCCCCGGCUAACUACGUGCCAGCAGCCGCGGUAAUACGUAGGGGGCGAGCGUUAUCCGGAUUCAUUGGGCGUAAAGCGCGCGUAGGCGGCCCGGCAGGCCGGGGGUCGAAGCGGGGGGCUCAACCCCCCGAAGCCCCCGGAACCUCCGCGGCUUGGGUCCGGUAGGGGAGGGUGGAACACCCGGUGUAGCGGUGGAAUGCGCAGAUAUCGGGUGGAACACCGGUGGCGAAGGCGGCCCUCUGGGCCGAGACCGACGCUGAGGCGCGAAAGCUGGGGGAGCGAACAGGAUUAGAUACCCUGGUAGUCCCAGCCGUAAACGAUGGACGCUAGGUGUGGGGGGACGAUCCCCCCGUGCCGCAGCCAACGCAUUAAGCGUCCCGCCUGGGGAGUACGGCCGCAAGGCUAAAACUCAAAGGAAUUGACGGGGGCCCGCACAAGCAGCGGAGCAUGUGGCUUAAUUCGAAGCAACGCGAAGAACCUUACCAAGUCUUGACAUCCUUCUGACCGGUACUUAACCGUACCUUCUCUUCGGAGCAGGAGUGACAGGUGGUGCAUGGUCGUCGUCAGCUCGUGUCGUGAGAUGUUGGGUUAAGUCCCGCAACGAGCGCAACCCUUAUCUUUAGUAGCCAGCGGUCUGGCCGGGCACUCUAGAGAGACUGCCAGGGAUAACCUGGAGGAAGGCGGGGAUGACGUCAAAUCAUCAUGCCCCUUAUGACUUGGGCUACACACGUGCUACAAUGGCGUAAACAAAGGGAAGCAAAGCUGUGAAGCCGAGCAAAUCUCAAAAAUAACGUCUCAGUUCGGACUGUAGUCUGCAACCCGACUACACGAAGCUGGAAUCGCUAGUAAUCGCAGAUCAGAAUGCUGCGGUGAAUACGUUCCCGGGUCUUGCACACACCGCCCGUCA
This 1368-nucleotide ribosomal RNA is filed under the name uncultured bacterium. RNAcentral's name for it is "bacterial SSU rRNA". It matches the Rfam family "Bacterial small subunit ribosomal RNA". The record is from RNAcentral.